Molecule: unclassified non-coding RNA, 253 nt
Filed under: uncultured Paracoccaceae bacterium
Lineage: Bacteria; Pseudomonadati; Pseudomonadota; Alphaproteobacteria; Rhodobacterales; Paracoccaceae
Description: uncultured Rhodobacteraceae bacterium contains 16S-23S intergenic spacer region
Rfam family: Bacterial small subunit ribosomal RNA
Source: RNAcentral
UACGGAGGGGGCUAGCGUUGUUCGGAAUUACUGGGCGUAAAGCGUACGUAGGCGGAUCAGAAAGUAUAGGGUGAAAUCCCAGGGCUCAACCCUGGAACUGCCUUAUAAACUCCUGGUCUCGAGGUCGAGAGAGGGCAGUGGAAUUCCUGGUGUAGUGGUGAAAUUCGUAGAUAUUUGGAGGAACACCAGUGGCGAAGGCGGCUCACUGGCUCGAUACUGACGCUGAGGUACGAAAGUGUGGGGAGCAAACAGG